This 706-nucleotide long non-coding RNA is filed under the name Solanum pimpinellifolium. RNAcentral describes it as "long non-coding RNA (SPIM_LNC000271)". Lineage: Eukaryota; Viridiplantae; Streptophyta; Magnoliopsida; Solanales; Solanaceae. The record is from RNAcentral.
CAGUUAUCAUCAUUUUCUUCAUCGACAACACCAAAAGCAAGUGGAAACACUCCACCAUCAGCAUCAAAAGAAGUCGCUGAUAGUAAAGUACCUAAGUAUUUGCUCUUAAGCUGAAUACCACCAAGACAAAUAACAGGCAAGCAACCACUCAGGAACCCAUGAAGAGAAGCAUAAAAGGAAAUGAAGAACCUCUGAAACCGACUAUCUGAACCAGCUGUAAAAACCUCAGCAUGACUUCCAGGAUUUGUUUUCUUGAUUUGCUCACAAUAUGCAGGUAAUAGACAGUACCCUUCUUCGGAAGAUCCAUAUAUAGCUUGCAGUCCUCUUUCCUUGGCCCUCCAAGCUUGUUUAUAUGGUAUAGUUAUUCCAUACUGCUUAUAGAUAUCAUGCAAAAUAUCUUUUGGCUUGUAAUUUAUAUUAUCACGCAAACGAUUCUCUAUGAAGUUCACUAUCCAAUCAACAGAAGCCUGAUGGUGUCCAUUUUGUGCAUUUUUCCCGCAGGUAUGUGUUCCGUCAAGGCUUCUUAUAGUAAAGGUAGGAGCAUUGGGAAGCUUAAUAGCACGAAUACGCCAUGGACAACCUUCUGAAGCACAUUUUGCAAUGUAGCGGAUCAGGUCACUUUUUACUAUGCGAAGCUCAAAAUGUUGUGCAAUAGCAGCCUCUUUAAUUGCAGUGCGGAAGGUCUUGACAUCAGGAAACUCUUGGC